UCUUGAUAUACCUACAUAUUCAAAUAUUUAUUUAAGCUUGUGUGUGUUAACAUAUUUUGCAGAAGAAGGGAGACGUUUCAAUUAGUGAACAAUAUGAACACGGACAGGAACUCAUAACGAAUUUGAUAGAAAUGAGAACAAUAAAAAAAGGAAGAAAUCGCAACUCGUUUUUAAAUGAUCAGAAAUGGAAUCUCAAAGGCUGCGCGCAAAUAAUGAAGCCAUAACUGACUUGAGUGAUCCAAAUCGAUCAACAAAGAUUUCUGAACGGUUUUCGAAACUUUUAGACAGUCAAUGGACGGAUGUGUUUGAGUGACUCACGCACAGGAAAGAAACUUUUGACAGGGAAGCAAUUGGUAUAUUGAUAGACAUGUUUAAGAUGUGUUGCGACGAAUGUAAAGAUGUGGCUUCCUCACAGCGUCUGUGUAUCCUUAUAUACCUUAAGCUGCUACCUUAU
Molecule: long non-coding RNA, 454 nt
Organism: Dreissena polymorpha
Lineage: Eukaryota; Metazoa; Mollusca; Bivalvia; Myida; Dreissenidae
Exons: 3
Source: RefSeq, a predicted model, not a curated record